CAAAAGCUUGGUCCUGACUUUACUAUCAGCUGUGAUUAAAUUUAUACAUGCAAGUAUCCGCACCCCUGUGAGAAUGCCCUACUGUUCCCUCUAUCCGGAGAACAAGGAGCGGGUAUCAGGCACAGUUCCAACACUAGCCCAUGACACCUUGCUAAGCCACACCCCCAAGGGAUUUCAGCAGUAAUAGACAUUAAGCCAUAAGUGUAAACUUGACUUAGUUAAGAUCAAAUGAGGGCCGGUAAAACUCGUGCCAGCCACCGCGGUUAUACGAGGGGCCCAAGUUGAUAGAUCACCGGCGUAAAGAGUGGUUAAUAAAUAUUACAAACUAAAGCCGAACAUCUUCAAAGCCGUUAUACGUUAUUGAAGCCAGGAAGACCCCCCACGAAAGUGGCUUUAAACUAUAUGACCCCACGAAAGCUAGGGCCCAAACUGGGAUUAGAUACCCCACUAUGCCUAGCCGUAAACACAAGCAACAUUUUACUACACCAUUGCUCGCCUGGGAACUACAAGCGCAAGCUUAAAACCCAAAGGACUUGGCGGUGCUUUAGACCCCCCUAGAGGAGCCUGUCCUAGAACCGAUGAUCCCCGUUCAACCUCACCCUCUCUUGCAUAAUCCCGCCUAUAUACCGCCGUCGUCAGCCUACCCUGUGAAGGACUAACAGUAGGCAAAAUUGGUACAACCUAAAACGUCAGGUCGAGGUGUAGCGUAUGAGAGGGGAAGAGAUGGGCUACAUUCACUGAAUCAGUGAACUACGGAAGAUGCAUUGAAAUAAUCAUCAUAAAGGAGGAUUUAGCAGUAAGAGGAAAAAUAGAGUGUUCCCCUGAAACCGGCCCUGAAGCGCGCACACACCGCCCGUCACUCUCCCCAAGCUAAUAAUUUACAAUAUAAAUAAAAAUAACACUCCUGCAACAAAGGGGAGGCAAGUCGUAACAUGGUAAGUGUACCGGAAGGUGUACUUGGAAAAAA
RNAcentral lists this non-coding RNA (967 nucleotides) under Butis sp. HYW-2001. Its description in RNAcentral is "12S ribosomal RNA". It matches the Rfam family "Bacterial small subunit ribosomal RNA". The record is from RNAcentral. Lineage: Eukaryota; Metazoa; Chordata; Actinopteri; Gobiiformes; Eleotridae.